GAUGAACGCUGGCGGCGUGCCUAAUACAUGCAAGUCGAGCGAACAGAUGAGAAGCUUGCUUCUCUGAUGUUAGCGGCGGACGGGUGAGUAACACGUGGGUAACCUACCUAUAAGACUGGGAUAACUCCGGGAAACCGGGGCUAAUACCGGAUAAUAUUUUGAACCGCAUGGUUCAAUAGUGAAAGACGGUUUCGGCUGUCACUUAUAGAUGGACCCGCGCCGUAUUAGCUAGUUGGUAAGGUAACGGCUUACCAAGGCGACGAUACGUAGCCGAGCUGAGGGGGUGAUCGGCCACACUGGAACUGGGACACGGUCCAGACUCCGACGGGAGGCAGCAGUAGGGAAUCUUCCGCAAUGGGCGAAAGCCUGACGGGGCAACGCCGCGUGAGGGAUGAAGGUCUUCGGAUCGUAAAACUCUGUUAUUAGGGAAGAACAAAUUUGUUAGUAACUGAACAAGUCUUGACGGUACCUAACCAGAAAGCCACGGCUAACUACGUGCCAGCAGCCGCGGUAA
RNAcentral lists this ribosomal RNA (514 nucleotides) under uncultured bacterium. Its description in RNAcentral is "partial 16S ribosomal RNA". It matches the Rfam family "Bacterial small subunit ribosomal RNA", at positions 28 to 523 of the family's 1533-position model. The record is from RNAcentral.